ACAACAACAAAAGGUGACCAUGAUGGGGAAUUUUGGGAUCUAGGACUGGUAGUCCUUGAAGAGGCUUGAAAUGAAAAGGAGUGGAUUUUCAGCUAUGAAACAGUGUGGGCUGGAAAAAUUAUACACAGUGCCAUUGAUGUAGAUUAGGCUGAGAGACAGUGACUGGCCCUAGAUCACCCAGUGAGCUUCCUGGCCGAGCAGGGAUAUGCACCCUCAGGACAUCACCAAUCAGAAAGCUAAGGAAUAAUAAGCACCAGAUCAUUCUACAGUGAUUGAGCAACAUGCCAGGUUAUCUCUUCACAAAUUUGUUUCCAGUCUGGUUCUUGUAGAUGAAGAUGAAAACAGAAGUUAAGGGCAGAGGAAAUUGCAAUCCUAUGUCUAGUUAUGUACCCACUGAUUUCACUGAGAUUCAAACAUGGUUACUAAGAGGCUAGGUUCAAGAUGGAAGGAUUACAACUGUUACAUAUUACUAGCAUAAUUUUUUAAGGCAUAGAGCUAUCAAAUGGAUUUAAGGUGCAAUUGUCUCAUAAAUUCUGAAGAACAUCAUGUAUCACUUUGCUAGAUCUGACUAUCCAUCAAAGGUAAAUUGUGAGGGUGCACUGCAAGAUGUUUCCAUUGAUGUGACAAUGAAUCAAAUCCGUCAC
Molecule: long non-coding RNA, 644 nt
Organism: Rhineura floridana
Lineage: Eukaryota; Metazoa; Chordata; Lepidosauria; Squamata; Rhineuridae
Exons: 4
Source: RefSeq, a predicted model, not a curated record